GGCCGGGCCGCCCAGAGCUCGCCAUUGGGCCUCACUCCCGGGGUCCCGAGCGCCGGCCAUGCUGAUUGGCCGCUGGGGCUUCAUUCACAGCCCCCCUACAGUCCGCAUACACACUCACGCCCCGGGGGCGCGGCCGCCACGUGGGGAGUGGCGCGGGGGUGGUACUGGGACCGCACCCCCUCUCGUCCUGGCUGCGUGGGCCCGCUUUCCCCGGUCUCUGGAGACUCCGAGCCCGGCGGGUCCCACGCUCCACGCGAGCAGAAUUCCCGCAGGUCUCCCGCCCGGGUGGCCAGAGGCGGUGGCGGGGAUGGCGGGCUCCGGGAGGCGCUCCGGCUCCGAGAAGCCGCUUAGCCCCGCGCUCCUCCCUCCGCAGUGCCGCCGCCGGCGGGCCGGGAUUCCCGCGGGUCUCGGCGGCCGCGAGCUGCAGGCGGCGCGGGUCCCCGGCUCGGUUGGUCACCUUGCCCGCCUCGCCUCCCACGGCUUCCAGCGGGCGCGGAGCUCUCCUCUGCGCGCCUCCCCGGCCCGUCUCGGUUUCCCUUCUUCGUCCUCUAGACCAUCCAGCGCAACUCCGUCGACCUCCGCGGCCCUGAGAGAGCAUCCGGCGCGGGCAGAGGCGUACCGGCCCGACCUCACGCCUCUCAUGGACUCUUCUCCAGGGUACCAUGGCCCAGAUGAGAAACUGAGUCUCCAGGGAGUUAAGUGA
RNAcentral lists this long non-coding RNA (703 nucleotides) under Bos indicus x Bos taurus (hybrid cattle). RNAcentral's name for it is "lncRNA (ENSBIXG00005028641.1)". The record is from RNAcentral. Lineage: Eukaryota; Metazoa; Chordata; Mammalia; Artiodactyla; Bovidae.